RNAcentral lists this ribosomal RNA (557 nucleotides) under Aspergillus flavus. RNAcentral describes it as "eukaryotic LSU rRNA". The stretch from base 200 to 353 matches the Rfam family "5.8S ribosomal RNA". Lineage: Eukaryota; Fungi; Ascomycota; Eurotiomycetes; Eurotiales; Aspergillaceae. The record is from RNAcentral.
CUGCGGAAGGAUCAUUACCGAGUGUAGGGUUCCUAGCGAGCCCAACCUCCCACCCGUGUUUACUGUACCUUAGUUGCUUCGGCGGGCCCGCCAUUCAUGGCCGCCGGGGGCUCUCAGCCCCGGGCCCGCGCCCGCCGGAGACACCACGAACUCUGUCUGAUCUAGUGAAGUCUGAGUUGAUUGUAUCGCAAUCAGUUAAAACUUUCAACAAUGGAUCUCUUGGUUCCGGCAUCGAUGAAGAACGCAGCGAAAUGCGAUAACUAGUGUGAAUUGCAGAAUUCCGUGAAUCAUCGAGUCUUUGAACGCACAUUGCGCCCCCUGGUAUUCCGGGGGGCAUGCCUGUCCGAGCGUCAUUGCUGCCCAUCAAGCACGGCUUGUGUGUUGGGUCGUCGUCCCCUCUCCGGGGGGGACGGGCCCCAAAGGCAGCGGCGGCACCGCGUCCGAUCCUCGAGCGUAUGGGGCUUUGUCACCCGCUCUGUAGGCCCGGCCGGCGCUUGCCGAACGCAAAUCAAUCUUUUUCCAGGUUGACCUCGGAUCAGGUAGGAUACCCGCUGACU